RNAcentral lists this ribosomal RNA (252 nucleotides) under uncultured bacterium. Its description in RNAcentral is "partial 16S ribosomal RNA". It matches the Rfam family "Bacterial small subunit ribosomal RNA", at positions 524 to 776 of the family's 1533-position model. The record is from RNAcentral.
UACGUAGGGUGCUAGCGUUAUCCGGAUUUACUGGGCGUAAAGGGUGCGUAGGUGGUCUUUCAAGUCGGUGGUUAAAGGCUACGGCUCAACCGUAUUAAGCCGCCGAAACUGGAAGACUUGAGUGCAGGAGAGGAAAGUGGAAUUCCAUGUGUAGCGGUGAAAUGCGCAGAGAUAUGGAGGAACACCAGUGGCGAAGGCGGCUUUCUGGACUGUAACUGACACUGAGGCACGAAAGCGUGGGUAGCAAACAGG